Molecule: ribosomal RNA, 505 nt
Filed under: uncultured bacterium
Lineage: Bacteria
Description: partial 16S ribosomal RNA
Rfam family: Bacterial small subunit ribosomal RNA
Source: RNAcentral
GACGAACGCUGGCGGCGUGCCUAAUACAUGCAAGUAGAACGCACAGUUUAUACCGUAGCUUGCUACACCAUAAACUGUGAGUUGCGAACGGGUGAGUAACGCGUAGGUAACCUGCCUGGUAGCGGGGGAUAACUAUUGGAAACGAUAGCUAAUACCGCAUAAUAUUAAUUAUUGCAUGAUAAUUGAUUGAAAGAUGCAAUUGCAUCACUACCAGAUGGACCUGCGUUGUAUUAGCUAGUAGGUGAGGUAACGGCUCACCUAGGCGACGAUACAUAGCCGACCUGAGAGGGUGAUCGGCCACACUGGGACUGAGACCCGGCCCAGACUCCUACGGGAGGCAGCAGUAGGGAAUCUUCGGCAAUGGACGAAAGUCUGACCGAGCAACGCCGCGUGAGUGAAGAAGGUUUUCGGAUCGUAAAGCUCUGUUGUAAGAGAAGAACGGGUGUGAGAGUGGAAAGUUCACACUGUGACGGUAUCUUACCAGAAAGGGACGGCUAACUACGUG